Lates calcarifer (barramundi perch) is the source of this 587-nucleotide long non-coding RNA. RefSeq lists it as uncharacterized. The record is from RefSeq and is a predicted model, not a curated record. The transcript is spliced from 3 exons. Lineage: Eukaryota; Metazoa; Chordata; Actinopteri; Centropomidae.
CAGUCCCAGAUUAAUUCUGCAGCAGGACAAUGAGUCCAAACACACAAUCAGCAUGAUGAAGAUCUAUCCUCAGAGACAAGAAGAACAAGGAGUCCUGCAGUAGAUGGUCUGACCCCCACACACAGAGCCCUGAUCUCAACAUCAUGGAGUCAGUCUGGGAUUACAUGAAGAGACAGAAGACACUGAGACAGCCUGAAUCCACAGAGGAACUGAGGCAACUUCUCCAAGAUGCUGGAACAAAUUACCUGAGUACAGGUGACUUGGAGAGCCAACACAGAAGAAGAGGCCAGUAUCCUGGGAAGGUGGACAGGAGAUCAGAUGUGUGAUGGUACAAAACGUCCGUCACAAGCUCGUUCCAGAAAUGAAGAGACAAAGGAGGCUCUGGAGCCUCAGAGAGAAGGUUAAGGUUAAGGUCAAGGUUUGUAACUGCACCCACACAUGCACACACAAAUAUACAGCACAUACCCUUCAUGGGCAGCAUUGUGGCUCUGUGAUUAGCAUUGCAGCCCCACAGAAAGAAGAUGUUGACAUCUUCUUGAUGUCUCAAGUCUUUUUUCUGUGUGGAGUUAACAUGUUCUCCUCGUGCU